AUUGAACGCUGGCGGCAUGCCUUACACAUGCAAGUCGAACGGUAACAGGUUAAGCUUACGAGUGUCGAGCGGGUGACUGAUGUAUCGGAACGAGCCCAGUCGCUGGGGAUAACUGCUCGCAUGAGCAGCUGAUACCGCAUACGACAUAAGGUCGAAUGCGGAAGAUCGCGGUUCCUCGGGCGAUUCGAGCCGCCGAUAUCGGAUUAGGUAGUUGGUGAGGUAAAGGCUCACCAAGCCGACGAUCGGUAGCUGGUCUGAGAGGACGACCAGCCACACUGGAACUGAGACACGGCCCAGACUCCUACGGGAGGCAGCAGUGGGGAAUUUUGGACAAUGGGCGCAAGCCUGAUCCAGCCAUGCCGCGUGCGGGAAGAAGGUCUUCGGGUUGUAAAACGCUUUUGUUAGGGAAGAAAAGGUUCUGGCUAAUACCUGGGAGUCAUGACGGUACCUGAAGAAUAAGCACCGGCUAACUACGUG
RNAcentral lists this ribosomal RNA (477 nucleotides) under uncultured bacterium. RNAcentral describes it as "partial 16S ribosomal RNA". It matches the Rfam family "Bacterial small subunit ribosomal RNA", at positions 30 to 507 of the family's 1533-position model. The record is from RNAcentral.